GGUCGACGAUUACUCCUACGGGAGGCAGCAGUGGGGAAUUUUGGACAAUGGGGGCAACCCUGACGCAGCCAUGCCGCGUGCGGGAAGAAGGCCUUCGGGUUGUAAACCGCUUUUGUCAGGGAAGAAACGCUCUGGGCUAAUACCCUGGGGUAAUGACGGUACCUGAAGAAUAAGCACCGGCUAACUACGUGCCAGCAGCCGCGGUAA
Molecule: ribosomal RNA, 207 nt
Filed under: uncultured Roseateles sp.
Lineage: Bacteria; Pseudomonadati; Pseudomonadota; Betaproteobacteria; Burkholderiales; Sphaerotilaceae
Description: partial 16S ribosomal RNA
Rfam family: Bacterial small subunit ribosomal RNA
Source: RNAcentral